UGGGGAAUCUUAGACAAUGGGCGCAAGCCUGAUCUAGCCAUGCCGCGUGGGUGAUGAAGGCCUUAGGGUCGUAAAGCCCUUUCGCCGGGGAAGAUAAUGACGGUACCCGGUAAAGAAACCCCGGCUAACUCCGUGCCAGCAGCCGCGGUAAUACGGAGGGGGUUAGCGUUGUUCGGAAUGACUGGGCGUAAAGCGCGCGUAGGCGGAUCUGGAAGUCGGGGGUGAAAUCCCGGGCUCAACCCGAAUGGCCUUCGAGACUCCCGGUCUGGAGUUCGAGAGGGGUGGGUGGAAUUCCGAGUGUAGAGGUGAAAUUCGUAGAUAUUCGGAGGAACACCAGUGGCGAAGGCGGCCCACUGGCUUCAACACUGACGCUGAGGCGCGAAAGCGCGGGGAGCAAAACA
This 401-nucleotide ribosomal RNA is filed under the name uncultured Rubellimicrobium sp. RNAcentral describes it as "bacterial SSU rRNA". It matches the Rfam family "Bacterial small subunit ribosomal RNA", at positions 355 to 775 of the family's 1533-position model. The record is from RNAcentral. Lineage: Bacteria; Pseudomonadati; Pseudomonadota; Alphaproteobacteria; Rhodobacterales; Roseobacteraceae.